GACGAACGCUGGCGGCGUGCCUAAUACAUGCGAGUUGAGCGAUGAAGAUUGGUGCUUGCACCAAUUUGAAGAGCAGCGAACGGGUGAGUAACGCGUGGGGAAUCUGCCUUUGAGCGGGGGACAACAUUUGGAAACGAAUGCUAAUACCGCAUAACAACUUUAAACAUAAGUUUUAAGUUUGAAAGAUGCAAUUGCAUCACUCAAAGAUGAUCCCGCGUUGUAUUAGCUAGUUGGUGAGGUAAAGGCUCACCAAGGCGAUGAUACAUAGCCGACCUGAGAGGGUGAUCGGCCACAUUGGGACGGAGACACGGCCCAAACUCCUACGGGAGGCAGCAGUAGGGAAUCUUCGGCAAUGGACGAAAGUCUGACCGAGCAACGCCGCGUGAGUGAAGAAGGUUUUCGGAUCGUAAAACUCUGUUGGUAGAGAAGAACGUUGGUGAGAGUGGAAAGCUCAUCAAGUGACGGUAACUACCCAGAAAGGGACGGCUAACUACGUG
This 497-nucleotide ribosomal RNA is filed under the name uncultured bacterium. Its description in RNAcentral is "partial 16S ribosomal RNA". It matches the Rfam family "Bacterial small subunit ribosomal RNA", at positions 28 to 507 of the family's 1533-position model. The record is from RNAcentral.